RNAcentral lists this transfer RNA (85 nucleotides) under Polyporus arcularius HHB13444. It matches the Rfam family "tRNA". Rfam says of the family: Transfer RNA (tRNA) molecules are approximately 80 nucleotides in length. Their secondary structure includes four short double-helical elements and three loops (D, anti-codon, and T loops). Further hydrogen bonds mediate the characteristic L-shaped molecular structure. tRNAs have two regions of fundamental functional importance: the anti-codon, which is responsible for specific mRNA codon recognition, and the 3' end, to which the tRNAs corresponding amino acid is attached (by aminoacyl-tRNA synthetases). tRNAs cope with the degeneracy of the genetic code in two manners: having more than one tRNA (with a specific anti-codon) for a particular amino acid; and 'wobble' base-pairing, i.e. permitting non-standard base-pairing at the 3rd anti-codon position. The record is from Rfam by way of RNAcentral. Lineage: Eukaryota; Fungi; Basidiomycota; Agaricomycetes; Polyporales; Polyporaceae.
GGCGCUAUAGUGUAGUGGUUAUCACUUGGGAUUCUGAUCAUUGGUCCGAUUUCCCAAGACCCAGGUUCGAUCCCUGGUAGCGCCU